AUUGAACGCUGGCGGCAGGCCUAACACAUGCAAGUCGAGCGGAUGAAGGGAGCUUGCUCCUGGAUUCAGCGGCGGACGGGUGAGUAAUGCCUAGGAAUCUGCUUGGCAGUGGGGGAUAACGUCCGCAAACGGGCGCUAAUACCGCAUACGUCCUGAGGGAGAAAGUGGGGGAUCUUCGGACCUCACGCUCUCAGAUGAGCCUAGGUCGGAUUAGCUAGUUGGUGGGGUAAAGGCCUACCAAGGCGACGAUCCGUAACUGGUCUGAGAGGAUGAUCAGUCACACUGGAACUGAGACACGGUCCAGACUCCUACGGGAGGCAGCAGUGGGGAAUAUUGGACAAUGGGCGAAAGCCUGAUCCAGCCAUGCCGCGUGUGUGAAGAAGGUCUUCGGAUUGUAAAGCACUUUAAGUUGGGAGGAAGGGCAGUAAGUUAAUACCUUGCUGUUUUGACGUUACCAACAGAAUAAGCACCGGCUAACUUCGUG
RNAcentral lists this ribosomal RNA (484 nucleotides) under uncultured bacterium. Its description in RNAcentral is "partial 16S ribosomal RNA". It matches the Rfam family "Bacterial small subunit ribosomal RNA", at positions 30 to 507 of the family's 1533-position model. The record is from RNAcentral.